RNAcentral lists this transfer RNA (82 nucleotides) under Dichomitus squalens. It matches the Rfam family "tRNA". Rfam says of the family: Transfer RNA (tRNA) molecules are approximately 80 nucleotides in length. Their secondary structure includes four short double-helical elements and three loops (D, anti-codon, and T loops). Further hydrogen bonds mediate the characteristic L-shaped molecular structure. tRNAs have two regions of fundamental functional importance: the anti-codon, which is responsible for specific mRNA codon recognition, and the 3' end, to which the tRNAs corresponding amino acid is attached (by aminoacyl-tRNA synthetases). tRNAs cope with the degeneracy of the genetic code in two manners: having more than one tRNA (with a specific anti-codon) for a particular amino acid; and 'wobble' base-pairing, i.e. permitting non-standard base-pairing at the 3rd anti-codon position. RNAcentral also lists the same sequence under 1 other name. The record is from Rfam by way of RNAcentral. Lineage: Eukaryota; Fungi; Basidiomycota; Agaricomycetes; Polyporales; Polyporaceae.
GCCAUCGUGGCGCAAUGGUAGCGCAUCACCUUCCUAAGAAGGCACGAGGUGGGGGUUGCGGGUUCGAUCCCCGUCGGUGGUA